RNAcentral lists this unclassified non-coding RNA (1711 nucleotides) under Zea mays. RNAcentral describes it as "misc RNA Zm00001eb108130". Lineage: Eukaryota; Viridiplantae; Streptophyta; Magnoliopsida; Poales; Poaceae. The record is from RNAcentral.
CGACCCAUCCCUAUUUCAUUCGCUGGUCGCGUCGCCACCGCUCGCUCGCCCGCCUCCCCAUCCAAUUCCAAACGCAAAGAACCGAAUUCCAUUCCCCACUCGGGCUCCUCUGCCGUCCUCCUCCUCGCCUCGCCUUCCGGCAUUUGCUCCAGCUCUUAGACCAGCCGCGCAAUACGAGGCUGCCGAAGGGGAUGGAGUCGGACGCGUCCACCUCGCCGCGGCGGCGCAGCACGAGCUGCUACAGCGACAGCGGGGACUCCUCCUGCUCCGAGCCCUUCAGCGAGUGCGGCAGCGACGACCUCUCCUUCACGCCCGCCGCGGGCAUCCACCGCCUACUGCUCUCCUGCGCGUCCGAGGCGUCGGAGGACGCCAUCUCCUCGCUCGUGGCGGAGCUGGAGCGCCCGUCGCCGUCGCUGGACUCGCUCCGCCGCGCGGCGAUGGAGCUCCGGCUGCUGGCCAAGCACAACCCGGACAACCGGGUCCGCAUCGCGGCGGCGGGCGGCGUCCGGCCGCUCGUCAGGCUGCUGGCGCACGCGGACCCGCUGCUGCAGGAGCACGGCGUCACGGCGCUGCUCAACCUCUCCCUCUGCGACGAGAACAAGGCGGCCAUCAUCGAGGCGGGGGCGAUACGGCCGCUGGUGCGCGCGCUCAAGUCCGCCGCGUCGCCCGCCGCGCGGGAGAACGCGGCGUGCGCGCUGCUCCGGCUGUCCCAGCUCGACGGCGCCUCCGCGGCGGCCAUCGGCCGCGCGGGCGCCCUCCCGCUGCUGGUCUCCCUCCUCGAGACCGGCGGCGCGCGGGGGAAGAAGGACGCCGCCACGGCGCUGUACGCGCUCUGCAGCGGCGCGCGCGAGAACCGGCAGCGCGCCGUGGAGGCCGGGGCCGUGCGGCCCCUGCUGGACCUCAUGGCCGACCCGGAGUCCGGCAUGGUGGACAAGGCCGCGUACGUCCUCCACUCCCUCCUGGGCUCCGGGGACGGCCGAGCCGCCGCCGUGGAGGAAGGCGGCAUCCCCGUCCUGGUCGAGAUGGUGGAGGUCGGCACCUCGCGGCAGAAGGAGAUCGCCACGCUCUGCCUCCUGCAGAUCUGCGAGGACAACGCCGUCUACCGCACCAUGGUCGCUCGCGAGGGCGCCAUCCCGCCCCUCGUCGCCCUCUCCCAGUCCUCCUCCGCCCGCACCAAGCUCAAAACCAAGGCGGAGUCGCUGGUCGAGAUGCUGCGGCAGCCGCGGAGCCCGAGCCUCCGCGCGCGACCAGCGGCGGUGGUUGCGGCGGAGUGACGGCCUCCUUCCCAAUCAUCCCCCCCACUUGUCUUCUUCGGCGAGACGAGCCGGCGCCGGUCGUCCGGCCGGCCGGCGUGCGCGUGUAAAUACCAAGCACAGCGUGUUUGCGUCCGCCAGCGAGUGUACAGUUUCCUCAAGCGAGAUGUCGUCCGGACGAUCGAAGAAGUAUCUAGUCUCCUUGUAAUUUCUUCCACCCAAACCUUCCGUUUGCUCCCCUUCCGCCUCCACUUUCCACCCACUUUGGGUGUGUGUGUGUCUGCAGCGAAACUUCGAAAAAAAAGCUUCGAAUUCGCGUGUGCCCGCGUGGGCUGGGCUCUGUGCUUCUGCUAGUCGCAGGCUCGCAGCAGUGUGUACGUGCGCGCGCUACGUCAGGAAAUCAACUUGGUUUUCCGAUCUUGUGGUGGAGACCAGCAAGAAAAAGGCUACGUAUUCUC